RNAcentral lists this ribosomal RNA (497 nucleotides) under uncultured bacterium. RNAcentral's name for it is "partial 16S ribosomal RNA". It matches the Rfam family "Bacterial small subunit ribosomal RNA", at positions 28 to 507 of the family's 1533-position model. The record is from RNAcentral.
GAUGAACGCUGGCGGCGUGCCUAAUACAUGCCAGUCGAGCGAACAGAUGAGGAGCUUGCUCCUCUGACGUUAGCGGCGGACGGGUGAGUAACACGUGGAUAACCUACCUAUAAGACUGGGAUAACUUCGGGAAACCGGAGCUAAUACCGGAUAAUAUAUUGAACCGCAUGGUUCAAUAGUGAAAGACGGUUUUGCUGUCACUUAUAGAUGGAUCCGCGCCGCAUUAGCUAGUUGGUAAGGUAACGGCUUACCAAGGCAACGAUGCGUAGCCGACCUGAGAGGGUGAUCGGCCACACUGGAACUGAGACACGGUCCAGACUCCUACGGGAGGCAGCAGUAGGGAAUCUUCCGCAAUGGGCGAAAGCCUGACGGAGCAACGCCGUGUGAGUGAUGAAGGUCUUCGGAUCGUAAAACUCUGUUAUUAGGGAAGAACAAAUGUGUAAGUAACUAUGCACGUCUUGACGGUACCUAAUCAGAAAGCCACGGCUAACUACGUG